Molecule: RNase P RNA, 402 nt
Filed under: Alphaproteobacteria bacterium
Lineage: Bacteria; Pseudomonadati; Pseudomonadota; Alphaproteobacteria
Also listed under: 2 other names
Description: RNase P RNA component class A
Rfam family: Bacterial RNase P class A
About the family: Ribonuclease P (RNase P) is a ubiquitous endoribonuclease, found in archaea, bacteria and eukarya as well as chloroplasts and mitochondria. Its best characterised activity is the generation of mature 5'-ends of tRNAs by cleaving the 5'-leader elements of precursor-tRNAs.
Source: RNAcentral
UCAGAUGGUCGGAUGGCCGCUGGCGUUUUGGCGCUGGAGGAAAGUCCGGGCUCCACGGAAACACGGUGCCGGGUAACGCCCGGCGGGGGCGACCCCAGGGAAAGUGCCACAGAAAGCAAACCGCCCGCGCCAAGGCCUCGGCCGCGCCGCGGGUAAGGGUGAAAGGGUGCGGUAAGAGCGCACCGCGGGCGCGGUAACGAGCCCGGCACGGUAAACCCCACCGGGAGCAAGACCAUGUAGGGACGGCCGGCACGGUGGCCUCGGCCACGCGUGCGAGCGGGUUUUCGCGUCAGUCGUCCGGGUCGGUCGCGCGAGGCGGUCGGUAACGACCGUCCCAGAGGAAUGGCCAUCGACGGCGGUUCGCCGCCCGAACAGAACCCGGCUUAUAGACCGUCUGAUCCG